GAUGAACGCUGGCGGCGUGCCUAAUACAUGCAAGUCGAGCGAAUGGACUAAGAGCUUGCUCUUAUGAAGUUAGCGGCGGACGGGUGAGUAACACGUGGGUAACCUGCCCAUAAGACUGGGAUAACUCCGGGAAACCGGGGCUAAUACCGGAUGUGUCUCCCGAGCACAAGCUCGGUGGGCAAAGGAAGCUUCGGCCUCCGCUUCGGGAGGGGCCCGCGGCCCAUUAGCUAGUCGGUGAGGUAACGGCUCACCGAGGCAACGAUGGGUAGCUGGUCUGAGAGGACGAUCAGCCACACUGGGACUGAGACACGGCCCAGACUCCUACGGGAGGCAGCAGUGGGGAAUCUUGCGCAAUGCGCGAAAGCGUGACGCAGCAACGCCGCGUGGGGGAAGAAGGCCCUCGGGUUGUAAACCCCUUUCAGGGGGGACGAAGGCGCGAUCGGUGAAUAGCCGGUCGUGCUGACGGUACCCCCAGAAGAAGCUCCGGCUAACUACGUGCCAGCCGCCGCAGUAA
This 514-nucleotide ribosomal RNA is filed under the name uncultured bacterium. Its description in RNAcentral is "partial 16S ribosomal RNA". It matches the Rfam family "Bacterial small subunit ribosomal RNA", at positions 28 to 523 of the family's 1533-position model. The record is from RNAcentral.